Molecule: transfer RNA, 77 nt
Filed under: Candidatus Moranbacteria bacterium CG2_30_45_14
Lineage: Bacteria; Candidatus Moraniibacteriota
Also listed under: 3 other names
Description: tRNA-Val
Rfam family: tRNA
About the family: Transfer RNA (tRNA) molecules are approximately 80 nucleotides in length. Their secondary structure includes four short double-helical elements and three loops (D, anti-codon, and T loops).
Source: RNAcentral
GGACAAUUAGCUCAGUUGGUUAGAGCGUCACAUUGACAUUGUGAAGGUCACUGGUUCGAAUCCAGUAUUGUCCACCA